This 245-nucleotide ribosomal RNA is filed under the name uncultured bacterium. Its description in RNAcentral is "partial 16S ribosomal RNA". It matches the Rfam family "Bacterial small subunit ribosomal RNA", at positions 524 to 768 of the family's 1533-position model. The record is from RNAcentral.
UACGGAGGGUGCAAGCGUUGUUCGGAAUUAUUGGGCGUAAAGGGCGCGUAGGUGGCUGUGUAAGUCAGAUGUGAAAUCCCCAGGCUCAACCUGGGAAUCGCAUCUGAUACUGCAUGGCUCGAGUACAGGAGAGGGAAACGGAAUUCCAGGUGUAGAGGUGAAAUUCGUAGAUAUCUGGAGGAACACCGGUGGCGAAGGCGGUUUCCUGGCCUGAUACUGACACUGAGGCGCGAAAGCGUGGGGAG